Molecule: long non-coding RNA, 1076 nt
Organism: Globicephala melas (long-finned pilot whale)
Lineage: Eukaryota; Metazoa; Chordata; Mammalia; Artiodactyla; Delphinidae
Source: RefSeq, a predicted model, not a curated record
CUUCCUCACCAUCCAUUUGCAUCUAAGCAUCUUUGGUGAUGGUUUUGGUAAGCAGGCGGCAUCUGUUUGAUGGUGUCCUUCCAGCCUCCAAGAUAGCAUCCUGUCCCUAUGGAUGCAUUCAUUAGGGUAGCUGUUACCUACUAAAUUAUCUACGUCUGCUCGUCAGGAGAAGGCAGGACAAACUGCUGAGCGAAGCCGGCAUCGCCUCACCUUCUGGCAGCCUCUGUCUGGAUCAGCUGACGCCAGGAGCCGAACUGGGGGGGAUGGGCCGGAUUCUGUGAGCUUUGCUUUAGUUGUUCACAUAAAUAAGGAUGGAGCCAUGCGAAGAAGGAGAGAGAGAGACAGGAAGAGUCAGCAGUUGUUUAUCUACAAGAAAUGGACUUGCACUAAAUCACAGGGGGCUUUCAGAACGUUCUUCACGUGGGCCCGUCUCCCCGAGUCUCUGAAGCAUGGUUCUCCCUGGGGAAACUUCUUCAUGGCUGGGCCCUUGUCGGGCCGGCCGGCGGGGUGGGUACCGGGGCAGAGCCGGGCAUCAGCUGGUCCAGGAGGGAGGUGCCUUCACGGGAACAAGGCAACAUGCUGGAAACGUUAACUGUAGAUUUACCUGUGGCAAAGCCAGCUGUCUUGACCUUCAGAUGAAGGAGAGGCCAGCUGACAGGAUAAUGAACGCUGCUUAUUAACAGGUAAGGGCAGGGGACCACAUUACCUAGGACGCUGGACCUGGAAACCUCCCCAGUGGUUCUGAGAAGAAGCGAGUGGAACGUCUUUCUCUUUUUAAAUCCUGCUCUGUUUCCACCUAUACACGCUGCAGACCGAUGUUACAAGCUGUCCAUGAGGCCUCACUAGAUGCUACUCUUAGGUUAAUCUAAGGUUUGGCUCAGUGGUUACUAAAAGUUUUAGGGGUAGUUAAAAGGAUUCAUUUCGGCUUCCCUGGUGGCGCAGUGGUUGAGAGUCCACCUGCCGCUGCAGGGGACACGGGUUCGUACCCCGGUCCGGGAAGAUCCCACAUGGCACGGAGCGGCUGGGCCCGUGAGCCAUGGCCGCUGAGCCUGCGUGUCCAGAGCCUGUGCUCCGCA